CCAAUAGCGUAUAUUAAAGUUGUUGCAGUUAAAAAGCUCGUAGUUGAAUUUCGGGGUUCAUCCGUUGGUCGGGCUUUUUUGGUCUGUACUGGCGUGAUGGAUUCCUACCUUCUGAAUAACCAGCAUGUCAUUAAUUUGGUGCGCUGGGGAAGCAGGACUGUUACCUUGAAAAAAUUAGAGUGCUUAAAGCAGGCUAUCGCCUGAAUACAUUAGCAUGGAAUAAUGAAAUAGGACGGCAUGGUUCUAUUUUGUUGGUUUCUAGGAACACCGUAAUGAUUAAUAGGGAUAGUUGGGGGCAUUAGUAUUCAAUUGUCAGAGGUGAAAUUCUUGGAUUUAUUGAAGACUAACUUCUGCGAAAGCAUUUGCCAAGGAUGUUUUCAUUAAUCAAGAACGAAAGUUAGGGGAUCGAAGACGAUCAGAUACCGUCGUAGUCUUAACCAUAAACUAUGCCGACUAGGGAUCGGACGAUGUUAAUUUUUUAAUGACUCGUUCGGCGCCUUACG
This 503-nucleotide unclassified non-coding RNA is filed under the name uncultured Acaulospora. RNAcentral's name for it is "SSU rRNA". It matches the Rfam family "Eukaryotic small subunit ribosomal RNA", at positions 591 to 1092 of the family's 1831-position model. Lineage: Eukaryota; Fungi; Glomeromycota; Glomeromycetes; Diversisporales; Acaulosporaceae. The record is from RNAcentral.